RNAcentral lists this long non-coding RNA (245 nucleotides) under Bos taurus (domestic cattle). Its description in RNAcentral is "long non-coding RNA NONBTAT015379". The record is from RNAcentral. Lineage: Eukaryota; Metazoa; Chordata; Mammalia; Artiodactyla; Bovidae.
AAACAAAGGCCACAAAGAAGGGAUACCCUCUGAAGUUUCUGCCAUCCGGGGCAGGUCUCACCGGUGGCUCAGUGAGUAACGAGCAGUGGCGGGUGCGGACGGGGUGGUCUGGUUUGAGUGGGCGUUUAAGGCCUUACGACUGAGGGAACAGUUGCUUGGUGUAGGGUUUGGGGAGAGAUGACACUACAGGUUGGCAAAAGCCAGGUGGUGAAAAGACCUGCAGGCAAAUUGUGAAGGGUUGGUCA